UACGUAGGGUGCAAGCGUUGUCCGGAAUUAUUGGGCGUAAAGAGCGUGUAGGCGGCCCGAUUAGUCCGCUGUGAAAGUCCAGGGCUCAACCCUGGAAUGCCGGUGGAUACUGUCGGGCUAGAGUCCGGAAGGGGCGAGUGGAAUUCCUGGUGUAGCGGUGAAAUGCGCAGAUAUCAGGAGGAACACCAAUGGCGAAGGCAGCUCGCUGGGACGUGACUGACGCUGAGACGCGAAAGCGUGGGGAGCAAGCAGG
Molecule: ribosomal RNA, 253 nt
Filed under: uncultured bacterium
Lineage: Bacteria
Description: partial 16S ribosomal RNA
Rfam family: Bacterial small subunit ribosomal RNA
Source: RNAcentral